This 490-nucleotide ribosomal RNA is filed under the name uncultured bacterium. RNAcentral describes it as "partial 16S ribosomal RNA". It matches the Rfam family "Bacterial small subunit ribosomal RNA", at positions 30 to 507 of the family's 1533-position model. The record is from RNAcentral.
AUUGAACGCUGGCGGCAGGCCUAACACAUGCAAGUCGAACGGUAACAGAAAGCAGCUUGCUGCUUUGCUGACGAGUGGCGGACGGGUGAGUAAUGUCUGGGAAACUGCCUGAUGGAGGGGGAUAACUACUGGAAACGGUAGCUAAUACCGCAUAACGUCGCAAGACCAAAGAGGGGGACCUUCGGGCCUCUUGCCAUCGGAUGUGCCCAGAUGGGAUUAGCUAGUAGGUGGGGUAAAGGCUCACCUAGGCGACGAUCCCUAGCUGGUCUGAGAGGAUGACCAGCCACACUGGAACUGAGACACGGGCCAGACUCCUACGGGAGGCAGCAGUGGGGAAUAUUGCACAAUGGGCGCAAGCCUGAUGCAGCCAUGCCGCGUGUAUGAAGAAGGCCUUCGGGUUGUAAAGUACUUUCAGCGGGGAGGAAGGGAGUAAAGUUAAUACCUUUGCUCAUUGACGUUACCCGCAGAAGAAGCACCGGCUAACUCCGUG